RNAcentral lists this microRNA precursor (109 nucleotides) under Myotis lucifugus (little brown bat). RNAcentral describes it as "miRNA (ENSMLUG00000029178.1)". Lineage: Eukaryota; Metazoa; Chordata; Mammalia; Chiroptera; Vespertilionidae. The record is from RNAcentral.
AUUUCGUGCACCGGGCCACUAGUAUGUGUGUGUGUGUGUGUGUGUGUGUGUGUGUGUGUGUGUAUAUAUAUAUAUAUACACACACACACAUAUAUGUGUCCAUAUAUAU